Molecule: long non-coding RNA, 526 nt
Filed under: Drosophila guanche
Lineage: Eukaryota; Metazoa; Arthropoda; Insecta; Diptera; Drosophilidae
Source: RNAcentral
ACCAAUUCAGCGCAUCCAUGAUUCGUCCAACUGGUCUCGCGUUAGGAUGAAAUUUUCCGCUUUCUAUUGUAUGUUUGUCUGUAGCAAUGUCUGCUCGUAUUUUUGUCGACUUUUCAACUUGGCGAUGGCUAUGGGAUGGCUAUAUGGUGGUGCCAGUGCCGGUGCCAGAGCCGGUGACGGUGACGGUGACGCGGCAACGGCAACGGUUGGUGGUGGCGGUGCGGUGUGCAUUUGAAAUAUGGUCGCUUGUGCCACAAAUAAAUAACGCUUUCAAAUCGCUCGCAAGUGGAUACAGCUACAUUUCAGUGUGCCACUGUAUCUGCAGCUGUAUCUGUUAGCCAUUCUAUUUGUAUGUGUGUGUGAGUGUGUGCCUGAUUGUUGUUCUGGCCAGAAGCAAAGCAGCGUGAAGAGGAGGAGGGCGGGAUGCUGCUAGUUAAGCACUCACCCACACAUAAACAGGAAUUAAUAUGAAACGCUCUCGACGGCAGAAAUAAGUGAGCAACAAAAUGUAGAUGACUAAACACAG